AAGAAAAUAAAAAAGUUUUUCAACGAAUCCUUUAUUUGAAAUUUAUUUACUUAAUUCCAAGGGCAGAGACACACGGUGUUUAGUGCUCUCCCAAGCCUUCUCUUUGGACAGUCGUUGGGAGGAGCUAUGACUUUUAAGCUCUCAUGGCCUAAAACAUUGGUUAAGAAGUGGUUCAACUAGAAGAACAAGGCCGAUGAUUUCGUAUAAGAUGAUAUCACUUAUAGAGGUGGGGGUGAUGAAGAAUGGAGAAGCCACUGUUCAAAGAGGGAGACGUGUGGUUGAUUAAGGAUGAACGUUAUGGAUGGAUUUAGAUGCUUGUAUUUUGAGGGUUGAUUUGUGUGGUUGAUACAUUGACUAAUUUGUGUAUUUUGAGGUUUAAUUUGUGUGGUUGGUACAUUUAGACCGCAACAUUAAUUAAGUAAAUUAUUGACUACUUUAUUUUGUA
Long non-coding RNA from Cucumis melo (muskmelon), 445 nucleotides. RefSeq lists it as uncharacterized. The transcript is spliced from 3 exons. The record is from RefSeq and is a predicted model, not a curated record. NCBI's taxonomy places the organism in Eukaryota, Viridiplantae, Streptophyta, Magnoliopsida, Cucurbitales, Cucurbitaceae.